UACAGAGGGGGCAAGCGUUGUUCGGAAUUACUGGGCGUAAAGGGCGCGUAGGCGGCCUUCUAAGUCGAACGUGAAAUCCCCGGGCUCAACCCGGGAACUGCGUCCGAUACUGGAAGGCUAGAAUCCGGGAGAGGGAUGCGGAAUUCCAGGUGUAGCGGUGAAAUGCGUAGAUAUCUGGAGGAACACCGGUGGCGAAGGCGGCAUCCUGGACCGGUAUUGGCGCUGAGGCGCGAAAGCCAGGGGAGCAAACGGG
Molecule: ribosomal RNA, 253 nt
Filed under: uncultured bacterium
Lineage: Bacteria
Description: partial 16S ribosomal RNA
Rfam family: Bacterial small subunit ribosomal RNA
Source: RNAcentral